Molecule: long non-coding RNA, 1018 nt
Filed under: Homo sapiens (human)
Lineage: Eukaryota; Metazoa; Chordata; Mammalia; Primates; Hominidae
Description: HSALNT0122496
Source: RNAcentral
GAGUAGGAAGUGUCUGAUUAACAUGGGGCCAAAAGAUUGGUUGGACCAGGUGUGCCAUUUACAUAGCAUGCAAAGAAGAUGACCACCCCACCCUAAUCUUUUAUUAUGCAGCUGGGUUCUCUACCUGGCCAGCGCCCUGUUGUCUGCUCCUUACUGCACACAUGGUUGACAAAGAAAAGAGAAGAUGUUGGGAAAACCAGCCCCACACCACCCGGUGCUGGGCUUCUUCAUGGAAUUCAAGGUGCAAUAGUUACAAGUGGGUAGUUUUUCACAGUGCUACCCCAAAACUGGGGACCCAGGGUUACAAUGCGGCAGCACUUGUACUUCUUAUGAGCCACAGUUGGACCGAGUUUCCUAUUAUAUUGUUUGCCCCAAGCAAUCAAAUGAUUGGGGCUUCAAAGAGUUAAAUCUUGCAUAUAAAUUAAGAAAGAUUACUAUAAUUUGAUUGGGAGUAUGGGUAGACCAUUUGGUCUAUACCAUAGCCCAGUUUCAGAGGAGUGUGUUCCCCCUUUUGUUUCCCAGUUUUCUUUUUGUUUUGAAACACCCUUGGCAAUGUAAAGCAUUGAAGUGCUAGAUGUUACUUUUACAAGUCCUCAGAGUGUGCAUUAUGUAACUGCUUGCCUCCUCAAUCCUGUAAUCCUUCCCCCUGUUUGUGAUGGCUUUCACCCUUCCUUCCUUUUCUUCCUUUUCCUUUUCUUCCUUCCUUCAUUCCUUUUCUUCCUUCCUUCCUUCAGUCCUCCCUUCCUUUCUUCCUUCCUUCCCUCCUUCCUUCCCUCUCUCCCUCCAUGCAUUCUUCUUUCCUCUCUCUCCCUUCCCCUCCCCUCCUCUUCCCUACUACUCAUCCUUUCCUUCCUUUCCUUUUCCCUUUCUCCUUUCCUCCCUCCCUUCCCUUUUUUUUAAAAAAAAUGGAUCAUAAUAUAUUUUUCUGACAUUUAAACCUGUAACUUAAAAAAUUUUAAUAAUUAAAAAGUUAUAUCUGUAAAAUGUCUCUAAACUUUAAGCAAUUGCUGAAAACUUC